This 251-nucleotide ribosomal RNA is filed under the name uncultured bacterium. RNAcentral describes it as "partial 16S ribosomal RNA". It matches the Rfam family "Bacterial small subunit ribosomal RNA", at positions 334 to 582 of the family's 1533-position model. The record is from RNAcentral.
UUUGCCUACGGGGGGCAGCAGUGGGGAAUAUUGGGCAAUGGGCGCAAGCCUGACCCAGCAACGCCGCGUGAAGGAAGAAGGCUUUCGGGUUGUAAACCUCUUUUGUCGGGGAGCAAAGAGGCCACGUGUGGUCAAAAGCGAGAGUACCCGAAGAAAAAGCAUCGGCUAACUCCGUGCCAGCAGCCGCGGUAAUACGGAGGAUGCGAGCGUUAUCCGGAUUUAUUGGGUUUAAAGGGUGCGUAGGCGGGACG